UGCCUUCGGGAACUUAGAUACAGGUGCUGCAUGGCUGUCGUCAGCUCGUGUCGUGAGAUGUUGGGUUAAGUCCGCAACGAGCGCAACCCUUUUCCUUAUUUGCCAGCGGGUAAUGCCGGGAACUUUAAGGAUACUGCCAGUGACAAACUGGAGGAAGGCGGGGACGACGUCAAGUCAUCAUGGCCCUUACGGCCAGGGCUACACACGUGCUACAAUGGUCGGUACAAAGGGUUGCUACCUCGCGAGAGGAUGCUAAUCUCAAAAAGCCGAUCGUAGUCCGGAUCGCAGUCUGCAACUCGACUGCGUGAAGUCGGAAUCGCUAGUAAUCGCGGAUCAGAAUGCCGCGGUGAAUACGUUCCCGGGCCUUGUACACACCGCCCGUCACACCAUGGGAGUUUGUUGCACCAGAAGUAGGUAGUCUAACCGCAAGGAGGACGCUUACCACGGUGUGGCCGAUGACUGGGGUGAAGUCGUAACAAGGUAGGCGUAGAUGA
RNAcentral lists this ribosomal RNA (494 nucleotides) under uncultured bacterium. RNAcentral's name for it is "bacterial SSU rRNA". It matches the Rfam family "Bacterial small subunit ribosomal RNA", at positions 1014 to 1509 of the family's 1533-position model. The record is from RNAcentral.